This is a long non-coding RNA of Aphis gossypii (cotton aphid), 1518 nucleotides long. RefSeq lists it as uncharacterized. Lineage: Eukaryota; Metazoa; Arthropoda; Insecta; Hemiptera; Aphididae. The record is from RefSeq and is a predicted model, not a curated record. The transcript is spliced from 3 exons.
UGUCUGACUCACGGGAAACGCUGUACCGGGAGAGACUAUAUGCGUAUAAUAUACGGCACGUGGUAUUAUAUGACUUCCGUUUAUAAUUGUCGAAAAAUUUUAAUAUCGACUUUUGAAGUCCGACAAUGCCGCUGAACAGACAGAUUAACAGCUCAUAUUAAAAACUUGGUAAUUCGAAAACAAUUCAACACAGGACGAGAUUUCAAGCCAACUAAACACUGCAGUUCUAUCUUAAUAUCAUUUCAAGUCAUCCUUAUAAUAAUAUGUUGUGUGUAGCAUGUUUUUUUUUUUAAAAAUAUAUAAUCUAGUAAAGUAGAACAAAGAACAUUUAAAAAGUUUCAAGUAUAUUUUUUAAAAUCCAAAUAUUAGAAUUAGUAUUAAGUCAUCACCAAAUGAAAAUAUGGGUGUGGCACUGUGUAUAAAAACCGUCAAACACCCCACCAUUUAGGUCGGGGUAACGGCGGGCUCAUCCGUUCCGGACUGUUCGUCUGCAGCCACCGUCGCUUAAUUUACACACACACACGCACACAUACAAUACAUUAUUUUGGAUAAUACGAACACACGCCAAUGGGCUUUCGACCGAAAACUCGACGAUGAAAAUAUUACAAGUCUAUAUAUGUAUAUAUACACCGUGUGCAUCGUGUUAUAUAACGUCGGGAUGGCGUUUAACCCGAUUAACCGAUCCCCAAAACAUCCUUUUUACUUCACUCCACUGCGUCAGCACCAGAGCAGUGUCGUUGCCUGCGAAUUUGAUUUGCGAAAUCUUAUUACGAUCGCGCCCGUAUACGAGUAUAGUUAUACAUUUUUAUUAAUGUCCCUUGAUGUUCGCAACGGUUCCGUCGUCGCCACAUGUCCACCGCUCGGCAUCAAUUUGUUUUCGAAAUGUACACACACACACGGAGGAAGCUGCUAAAUAAAUUGUCGAUUGUGUCGCGCGUGCAGGGGUCGAGACUUGAGGUUCUGUAUAAAUAUAUAAUAUAUAUAUAUGUAUACUCGAUUCAGUGUAACGCAAUUACUUGCAUUGAACACGUGUUCAAUUCCACACUGUACGUCUGUACACACGCUUAAUAAUAUUAUUAUAUAAUAAUUUAUACUCUGUGCCCAUGUGUGUGUCUGUGGAGCUUAAUUAUUGACAUGCGCCUUACCAAUCUGUAUACACCCGAGUUCCGGGAUAUACAAUUUUCACAUCACCCGCUGCUGUAGUUAUUACUACUUAUUACGUUUCGAACAAAGUGAAAAAAACCUUAGCCGAUGUUGACGAUGUAAUCACGGUAGGCUUACGUAUGUUGUAUAUAUACGAGUUUUUGUGAACGGUUAUAAAAAAUAAAAUAAGAUUAUAGUCGAAAUCCCCACAAAAUGGUCAAAUUUUAAUUUUAAAAACCUUAUCAGGAGCAGUACCUUAAAUAAAAUACAAUAUAUUAUAUCCAUAUACUUAAAACUCUAACUUAGCAAAACGAUUGAAGAAUGUAACGAAAAAACUCUUUAAAACAAAAUGUGUUAUUUAAAUUAAUAAAUAUA